Molecule: long non-coding RNA, 601 nt
Organism: Musa acuminata AAA Group (dessert banana)
Lineage: Eukaryota; Viridiplantae; Streptophyta; Magnoliopsida; Zingiberales; Musaceae
Exons: 2
Source: RefSeq, a predicted model, not a curated record
CGCCGUCACGCCGACUGGGCAAGCAGACUUCUCGUCUCUCACCACCGUCGCCGCCGGCGAAGCCGAAGGUGGCGGAGGAGGAGGCUGGUAGAUCCCGGCCCCCUCGGCGGCCGCCGUAGAAGCUUCCAAACGCAGAAGUUGGAAGGAGAUCCUUCGGACUCCGAUCUCUAGGGUUUCUUUCAGCUCUCUUCACCAGAAUCUACCAUCAAGCUCCAUGACGACACAAAUAGCAAGAAAACCAAAGAAAAGAGAGUAAUUCGCAAGCUUUUUCCCCUUAGCUAUAUCUUCUCGCCUUGUCCUCACGACCGGAGUACCGCCGAUAUCGUCACGGCCGUCCUUACCAGAAGGAGAAGAAGAAGAAGAAUAGUUGAACUAGAAGGAAAGCGAACGGGGAUGAAUUAUUAUCAAUAAUAUAAUUAUUUGUUAUUAUAUAUUGCAAAUGUAAUGUAAGCAGGAAGAGGGAAAAAAGAAAAACGAGAAAUAUAAUAUAAAAAAUCAAAAUGGGCGGCUAUUGGCGAAGGGAAACGACGGGUUCUUAUAUGUAUGAUUUUUUAUUAUGGAAGGAAUUAUGUGAGCAAUGAGAUGGGUAGCUUCUUUGGAA